This 1326-nucleotide long non-coding RNA is filed under the name Drosophila guanche. Lineage: Eukaryota; Metazoa; Arthropoda; Insecta; Diptera; Drosophilidae. The record is from RNAcentral.
CAUGUUCUCAGGUUGUCAAGGCUGCCGCUUUUUGUUGCUGCUGCCUGACUGACUGCCACUUGCCUCCUCAAGUACACGCGUGUAUGCUACAGCUAGCUGUAGCUGUAUCGGUGUGUGUGUGUGUGACGGCCAUUACUUUGUUGCCUAGGUGUUGCCGUCGCCAUUGACAAUGAUUUCACCCAACUUAAAGCUGACUCAAGUGAAUCUGUGAGCUCUGGAAUUCAAGAACUUCUUUCUCUGACACGACACGACACGCCCAGACGCUGGAGUACCAGUGGAAUUCCUUGAAACAUUUCGUAUUCAUUGUUUCUCUUCUAUUCGCAGCGUGAGAGAGACAUUUGUCAAAAUCUAUGGGAAUUACAGUUACAGUCGUUCCUUCGCACAGCUACUAUUUCCGCCGGAAGGGGCAAAAGAUGCUGCUUGUGCUGGUACACCCAAACCCUUGCCAAAGGAGACGCUUUGUUUCAAGUGAAUCAAGAAAGAAUCCACAAAGAAUGUUGACUCUUCUGUUGCUAUAAUCUAUAACUCUUACUGCAGCCAAUGAUAAUUCUGUGAGUUAAAUCUUCAACGCUCUACAUACUAUUCGAUUAUUUUCUUGUUGAAUACUGCUCACUUUUUUGUUGUUGCAUAUUUUUACGACUUUUUGUCAAGGGUAUCUACGGCUUCGCAUUAUCUUUAGCCCAGCAAGCAGGAGCCGCACCUUCUUUUCUCCUGCAUUUCACCUGCUUUUGCGUUUAGCGUAAGACUCUCCUCCUCCUGCCAGUCCACUGUUAUCCUGUGUGUUUCGCUGCUGCUGCUGCUGCUGCUGCUGCUCCUGGCGCCUAACAAUAUGCAAUAAUAACAAUUUACAUAUUCAUGAGACGCCCCGACCGACCGACAAACAACAACAACAACAGCAGCAGCUCCAAGGGUAUGGGGGUAAGGGGGUGGCAGGAUGAGUGAGAGCUGGUCCAAGAGGUGGAGUUGGAGGUGGAGAGAGGAAGGAUGAGGAUGAAUGUGACGGCAGUUUGCAUAAAGAGCAGCAGCAUCACCGCUUAAACAGAAGAAUCAACAACGGAACAGAAGCGUAUCCCCCACGCGGUCCACGUGGUCCAUGGGUGGAGCAGGGUUACUGUUUGCAAAACCCACUACCAUUAUGGAAAACCCUUAGAAGUCAUGGUGGAAGACCCUUAAAACCCCCUUCCAAAAACCCUUUUAAACAUCAGUUGGAAGGUAUCUUGGAACGCCUUUGGAACGAACAUUGAAACGCAAACUGGCACUUUGGAACAUAUGGAAACACCUUUGGAAAGACCUAUGGAAAACCCUUUGGAAAACCCUUUGGAAGAC